RNAcentral lists this ribosomal RNA (506 nucleotides) under uncultured Eubacteriales bacterium. RNAcentral's name for it is "bacterial SSU rRNA". It matches the Rfam family "Bacterial small subunit ribosomal RNA", at positions 1 to 507 of the family's 1533-position model. Lineage: Bacteria; Bacillati; Bacillota; Clostridia; Eubacteriales. The record is from RNAcentral.
AGAGUUUCGAGUCCUGGCUCAGGAUGAACGCCGGCGGCGUGCUUAACACAUGCAAGUCGAACGACCCAUAUUGAACCUAGUGAUAUAUGGGUUAGUGGCGGACGGGUGAGUAACGCGUGGGUAACCUGCCUUACACAGGGGGAUAACACUUAGAAAUAGGUGCUAAAACCGCAUAAGCGCACAGCUUCGCAUGAAGCGGUGUGAAAAACUCCGGUGGUGUAAGAUGGACCCGCGUCUGAUUAGCUUGUUGGCGGGGUAACGGCCCACCAAGGCGACGAUCAGUAGCCGGCCUGAGAGGGCGGACGGCCACAUUGGGACUGAGACACGGCCCAGACUCCUACGGGAGGCAGCAGUGGGGAAUAUUGCACAAUGGGGGAAACCCUGAUGCAGCGACGCCGCGUGAGUGAAGAAGUAAUUCGUUACGUAAAGCUCUGUCAGCAGGGAAGAAAUACUGACCUUACGGUCAGCAGACGGUACCUGAGUAAGAAGCCCCGGCUAACUACGUG